CUUCAGCUUCUGGUUCUGCUUCAUCUUCUCGAAAUAUCAGGGAUCAGGAUGGUCAGUUGCAAUGAAAUUGAUGCCUUAGGAUUUGAAUUGUUUUAUGGCAUACUCUUCUUUCAUUUUCUUCUCCUGCUCGAAUUAGAUUUAGAAAAGGUCAAAAGGAUUUUGUUGAGAAGCAAGGACAGGUCUUUUAGGAGAAUUUAAAAAAAAAAAGAAAAGAAAAACUCCAAAAAAAAAAAAAGAAAAACUCCAAAAAAAAAAAAAGGAAAAAAGACAAUAGGAUGACAGAUGCACAAAAAAGGUUUUGUGGGCUCAACCAAUUUCUGGGGAACCCAUGUGUCCUGUCAACUUUGCCAAGGAAUGGUUAUUUUUGACCAAUUCACUUGACUAAUGAAAUUCUGUAGAAAUAUUUCAUGUAUUCACAUAUUCUCUGCAUACAUGGUCUAGUUGCAAGAGUAAUAGUACUUUUUAAAAGGUUUCUAAUUUUUAAAUAUUUUCCACAUGAGUGUUUACAGUUGGGGGUUUUAGGGGACAAACCUAGGGUGAAUUUUUAUUUUUAUCUGUGUCUUUUUUGCGGACAUAGUUUUCCAACAUUUAUUGUUCCAUAGCUCACUAGUUAUCUUGGUUGGUGAUGUGUAAUUCAACAGAAGAAACUAGGAGGAAGUGCCCGGUUUGUCGCAAGUCUUUUCUUGCAAAGGACAUUGAGCACGUGCUUGACUUUGUGAAGACUCAACAUGCUGUGGUAAGUUACGCAAAUAUCUUCAAUUAUUUAACAGUCAAUUCAUAUCUUUUCUCGAAUUUCUAGGUAGGGAAAACACUUUGAUUGCUGAAAUAUUGUAACAGCUGCUCCUAUCUAAGUUGAGCGGACUCUUCACUUUUGAUGCCACACCUGUGUUGGAUUCUCCAAAGAUACACUAUUUUUGGAGAAUCUGACACACACCCGUUAACAUUUUUGAAGAGUCCUAGUAUAAUAUAAGCUCCUAUGAAAAUUCCUGGUUUCAUCAAGAAAGAUUUCUUGUCCCUUAAUUGUGCAAGUAAACUCCUCACAAGCAUAAAGAAUUGCAAAGUGUUAUAUAGAAAUCCUUUUUGUGAAUGUGUUUGAGCAUCCAAAUAUAGAACGUUAAGGUAAUUGAUGGAGUUACCUAUGGUCUUUAUAAGCUCUUGUGGAUGUCCUUGUGCAUCCAAUGUGAUGUAUUAUGCAUCUCUUUUUUUUUCUAACACAAAUUUUUAAAUUUUUUGAGAAUUAAGCGUUAGCUCAUUGGUUAAUUUCUAUAUCCUCCUUUUUCUUCAUUGUAUUGGCUUUUUAAAAAGUUAGUAGGAAUUGUUGGUAAAUUAAUGGUGAGGGAGUAAGAAGUUGUGGGAUUGUAUACAGCAUUUGCCGAAGAAUUAAGAAACAGAUAAGAAAAAUAGUUUGAGGAGCUACGCACGACUGUCCAGACCAAUAGGCAAAAGUUCACGGAUAGAAAUAAAAAACUUGGUGAAUACAUUGAUUGCACGUCAUUUGUUUCCCACCCCAUCUCCACCACACCCAUCAUCCACUAUAAUGAGGAUGAUAAGAGGAUUAGGCAGAUAACUUGUCAAAAAAGAAGAAGAGAGGAUUAGGCAGAUAUACACACAGCCUCGGUUUUAUGUGUGGAUUAUGAUUCUUGUAAACUCUUUAUAGUGACUGUUUAUGGAUGUUUGGUUUCUAUAUUGAGCUUUUAGAAGUCAAACUGUAAAAGGUUUGCCUAUUAAAUAUGGAACAAAAACUCGGAAACCUGAUAUGUUAAAUCUGAAACAGUAUACAGUUUGUUAGUGCCCCUAGUUACUAAAUGAGUGUUUAUUUUUUGUUCAGUUACAACGAUUUGGUAUUUUUAUUGGAAUUUCUUUGGAAGAUCUGUUGAUAUCUGUUCACUGUUUGAAUCCAGAGCUCCGGCGGAUCUGAAGUCAACAAUGAUGGCACAGUUCUUUUCUCAGAAUCAGAAAAAUUAAGAAGAGAGAAAUUUGCUGCAAUACUGCAACUCCAGCAAGAGAAGGGUGGCUUAAUUGAACUAAAAAAGCAUGAAGUGUUGCGGCCAGGUAUUUAUCUUCCACAACCCGCUGCAUUACCAUCGACAGCAUCCACCACCGAGGGAAGUGAGCAACAAGACAGAGAUCCGGCAGCCAAAUCCAGAACAAAUCCUAGUGGUUCCACAAACAAACAGAGUACCAGUAGAGCAAGGAACUCCGGCACUAAGAAACACCAGGGGCACAAUUCAAGAAAACAAGUCCCUCACAACUCAAGAAAACAAGUCACUCAGUGGGUUAAGAAAGAAAACAGUGAUACAACAUGAUAUGAGAUUUUUAUUUUUUUUAAAAAAAGGAAGCUGAAAGGAACGAAACCAUUGGUUAUUUUUGUUAUUUAUCGGCCUGCUUACAUGAUCAAUUCUGAUAUAUCGGGAAGCCAAGGAAGUUGGCAGAUAGACACCAGCUACUGUUUGUUGCGCAGAGAGUGUCGCGAUUAGAAGUGAUAGAUUUCUCAUUUGUAAGGUUUCUGAUAUCUUUCUCCAAGAUAAAAUAUAUAUUAGACUUUUCAAGAACAAUUGCUUGUGUGUUGUUCCAGCUCUAAACUGAGCCUGAGGCAAUGCUGUGCUUUCACUGUAUAAAUCUGACUGCAGCUCUUCCCAACAGAUAAAAAGUUCAUUUUAUGGUUCAGGGGUGGACGAUUUAUUCAUUCAGUCCAAAGACUCAGGACGUUCCUAAAAUGUCGAUUAUUCGGGAAAUUCAAUAUAAUGGCCAUCUGUUGGCAUUCCAGCCUUUUUUCUACUUUCCAGGCCUAUAUGAAAAAGAAGGAUAAACAACAUAAAUUUCAAUCUCUAUGAAAGUAAUUACAUAGGAUUUCGGUUAUAUUCUCUCUCUUAAUUUUUGAAAAAUACUUAUACAUUAUUAUGUCUCUUAUACAUUACUAUAAUAUAUGAGGUGAAUCAAUUUGCAUAUAAUUAUGGAAAUAAAGUAUGAUAUCAUUAUUAUCUCUCACAAUUAACGUCAUUAAUUAAUGCACUGAUUUUAUGGAGGCAGAAAAAUAGUAACUGAUAAAUCAAAUUUAAAAUUAGUUAGUAAUGAUAAACUUCAAAUCAAUCAAUAUAUAUAUAUAUAUAUAUAUAUAUAUAUAUAUAUAUAUAUAUAUAUAUAUAUAUAUAUAUAUAUAAAAGACAGAUACUUUAAAAGGAGUAAUUAUUUUGAGCUUUUAAAUUGAUUUAAUAUUUAAUUGAAUUUGAAAAGGCAUUAUACAUACAUUGAAUAUUCAUUUGCAAGAGUUAAAAGUAGUUAACCCACAAACUUUGAAAUAAAUCUCACUUAACCUUUCAUUCAGCCCACGUAACAUUGAUAUAUACGUUUUCCAUGUUUCCUAUAGUAUAUAUUAUUCUUUCUUUUUGAGUCAUGUUAAUCUCCAUCUUGUGUUCUUUUACAUAUUUUAUUGUGCACCGAAAAAAAUAUUCAGUAACCAAAAUAUUGUGCAUGACCUUCUUAAGCUUUCCAUUAGUAGAUUAUUAGUAUUUUGUGACUAUAAAUUUGAGCCAAUGAUGGAGUAAGUAUUAGACCAUUAUGAAAUUGUAUUUCAUUUGUAGUUGGAGAAGUACGAAAUUGUCUUGUUUCCUUUUUCCUUUUCCGAUAUCAUUUUUCAGUUUCUUUCUUGUACUAAUAUUUUCAUAUUUGGUUCAAAAAUAAUUGUUUUUCUUUCCCUUAUUUUUCUUUCUUGUCUCCAAGGCUGUAUUUUAUUUAAGCAAGAAUGUAAUAUGUGAAAUUUUAUUUAUUUUCUUACAAUUUUUAUUUGCAAUGCAUUAGUUUGUGUGAUGUUUUAUUUUUGCAGAAAUAAGAGAAGACUCAAAAAUCAUCAUAAAAAGAUUUAUGAAGAAAAGGACAAAUUCAUUAUCGUCACUGGCAACUUGACAUGAAUAUUUUUUUUGGUAAUGUUUUUUCUAUUUUUUUUUUAUAGCUGAAUAGUAUAAUGUUGAUACUUUUAAAAUUUGAUGUGGUAUAAAAAAGACGUUUGAUGAUCUACAUUUGAUCACAUGCAAAGAAUCAGAAUUCUUUUUUAUAUUUAAAAUGUUUAAAUAGCUUAAUUUUAUUUUUACUGAUUGUUUAUUUACUCCCACUUUGUUUUUCUUUUAAAUACGAGGCAUCGAAGAGGAAUGAAAAGGUUGUGUAUUAGAGGAGUUUAAAGUUCUUCAUUUUUUGUUAUUGUUACUGCAGUUUGAGCGAGUGAAAGAAGAAAAGACUAAAAAAAUUUUUAUUGUGGGCGAGAGCUUGAUCUCUUCUUUCUUCAUCAUUUUACAAAUGAGUUGACUAAUGAACUAAUUAUGCCAAAAGAAUGUAGGCAAUUUUUUUCUAAGAGAAAAAAAAAGUAACAUUUAAAUUUAAUUGAAAAUUAACUAUCAUUUUAUAAUCACUAAUAUGCUAACAAAUUAUGUUAUGGACUAUGGUUAUAUUUAUGUUUGAUUUUUUUUCUUUACUUUUUUGAAAGUCUUUUCCUCAUCGUUUCUUUAUUUAAUACAAUUCAACUUAAACUAUCACUGAUGUGGCAUGCCUCAAUGAGCUUCAUUUCUAUUUAUCUAUUUUCUCAUUUUCUUGAAUUUUUCUCUAAUUUUAUAUUUAGAAAAAUUUCAGAAAAUUAGUUACUCUUUACCGUUUCUCUUUCCUCAUUAUUACUGUUAUUUAUUUAUUUUUCAAUAAUUAUUAUAUUACCUUCUUUUUCUUCGUGCAAUUAUUAAAUAUAUAUCAUCUAUAUUUAUUACUUUCCUUAUUUUACAACUUUAUUUACUUUUUUAUUCUCUCAUUCUUAAAUUAAGAAAUUUUUGUAAAGGAAAUGGUAUCCUAACCUAACGUAUGUUAGAUAACAAAAUCAUUCAGAAAAGUGGAAAAUAAUAUAUUAGCAAAAAAGUAUAUUUGGUAAAGUGUAAUACAAUAAUAAAAAUAAGAGAAGAAAUAUUUUUUAAGUUUCUUUUACAAAAAUAAUUAGUGUAUUAUUAUUAUUAUUAUUAUUAUCAGGACAAUGCAUUUAUCUAAUAUACAUUUAAAUCAUCAUCAAUUGAAAUUAGUACACAUUUUAAGUAAAUGAAAAACAAAAGGACCAAAUCCCUUUCAUUUUGCAAAACUGUUUAAUUUUUAGCAUAUAAAAAAGAUGAGCUGAGUAUCUGACUUAUUAACUUUGCCUCUUUUCUUUUUGAAAUGUUAUUUUCUUAAGAAAAUUGAGGGGUCGUUUGGUGGAGUGUAUUGUCAAAAAUAAUGCAUGCAUUAAUUAAUGUGUAUUAUGAAUAUCUUGUUUGGUACAAUUUUUAGUCUAUGUAUAAUUAAUGCAAACAUUAGUUAUACACUCUAAUGUGUAUUAAGGUGUGUAUUACUAAUACCAUCCAUUUUUUAUGUAUUAGUAAUGGAAAGGCUUUAAUACAUGCAUUAACUUAUUAAAUGACUUUAAUACCCCUCAAUUUCCCACUCAAAAUAUUUCACCAUUCCUUUUCUCGCCAUUUUAAUUUGCAAUAGUGAAUCUUUUCAAAAUAUUUCACAAUUUUUUUCCACCAUUUUAAUCUACAACAAUAAAUAAUUGAUUUAAAUAAUUGUAACAUAUUUUUGCUUUGCUUCGAGAGUCUUUAAAAAGAUAAAAAAAAAAGUUGAGAAUAUUUCUUAAUUUUAUGUCUUAUAUUUUAUUUUUGUUUCGACUAUGUUAAUCUGUUGGCGUAAUAAUUCAUACGCAAAGACGAAGGUCUUGCAAUUAAUUCGAAACCUCUAUAUACUAGUUCAACAAUACUAAUUAUAUUUGAAAUGACAAAAGAAUUUUGUUGCAAAAAAAAUGUACAAAAUCAAAGAAGGGUAUUUUUGUAAACAAACAUUUCUUUUAUAGAAAUUAUGUAAGAUGUAUUAUUUCUUAUACAUCAAACCAAACAAUGUAUAAGAAAUAACACAUGCAUAACUAAUACAAGCAUUAUUAAUGCAAACAUUAUUAGUACACUAUAUUUUGCAUUAUUCUUAUACACUCUAUCAAACGACCCCUGAAAGUGAUACUAUUUCAUGGUCCUUCUAAAAAUCUUCUAUAUAGUAAAAAUAAUUAUGACCAUAAAAAAAAUGUGAUGUAGUGAAUGGAGUUGUACCUCGCUUAAUUGAUCGAGUAAUACACUCAAAUCUAAAGGUGGAUAAUUUUUUGUUAAAGAUGGAGAAAAAAGAUUGUAAAACGACUAUGACUAACAAAGGAUGCGGAAUAGUGGAUGAAGUUGCACCUCGCUUAAUUGGUCGAGUAAUACACUCAAAUUUGAAGAAGGAUAAAUUUUGUUGAAGAUGGAGCAAAAAGAUUGUGAAGAUAAAUAGUAAAAAACAAGUUAUUGUUGUGUGAAGCGAUUUCAAGCUGCAAUUAUUUUCUAUUUGUAAUAUUUUUUUUGUCAUUCUGAUGCAAACUGAUCAAAAAUAAUGUUUAUACUUCAUCGUAAAUAAUGAGAAUAUGAGGUUUUAUAUUGCCUCAAAAAAACUCUAUGAGGUGUUACAUUUUGAAAAAAAAAAUAUCAAUCUAACAGAGAAAUUUAUAGAAAGAGUGAGGAAAGUGUCCAGGGAAAAAGAAGAAUUAUUUGAAGAAAGAAUUAUUCUAUUUAUAAAAUUCAUACUAAAUGAAGAAAAAAAUUAAUUUAAAAGAAGAUAUUAUUCCAUAAACAUAAAAAAGAAGGAAGGUCAAUGAGGUUAAAAGAUAAUAUAAUAAAGAAAAUGAACGAAAAAGGAAAUGAAAAAUUAAUAAGAUAUAAAAUGGCAUAUAAGGAGCUGAAAAUGAUGUUUGUCAUUAUUUCUUUUGACUAUUUUACGCUGCUAAUUCCUUACCUUCUUUUAUGUUUUUAUUUAAAAUGUUUUUUCCUCCUUCAUUUUUUCUUGUGUAUUUUUUUAUUAAAGUUAAUAUUUUCAGCAUUAAAUUUAAAAUGUUAAGAAGCACUAAAAAUCUUACUAUUAUGUAGUUGUUAUUUAUAAGAGAUAAUUUCAUUUAUUCAUAUUUUGGUGAAAUCUCUCUCAAUUAAGUGUGGAUAAAAAAGAAAUAAUAACUAAUGAUAUUUUCUCAAUUUGAAUCUCAACUUUUAAAUAUAUCUCUAAAUACUCUUCAAAUUAAAAAUUACAACUCUUUUAGAUACCACUUAUUAGGACUUUAAAGCAUAAACACUUUUGACAUGAUAAAAAUUUCAACUUCCUUUUGCUUUUUAAUGGUUUAUAGUUUUGUGAAAUUAAAUUUUGUGAAGAAAAGGAGUUUAUUUCAAAAGUAAACAUAUAUAAUCAAUCUGUCUCAUAUUAAUAUGAUGAAAGAAUAAUCUUAAAAUGUAAGUUAAAAUGUACUAAGUUUAACUUGCGAGAAACAAAAUAUGACAAAUAAAUUAAAUAUGAGAGUAAUAAGGCGUGUUUAGCUACUUAAUUAUUUUAUCAUACAUUAUUUGUCAAAUGAGUUUCAGUUAUACCAUUUGUAUUAGUGUAUUAGAUUAACAAAUUCUUUUUCCUGUAUUUUAAAAUUAAAAUUUAUAUACCUACAAUAUAAAUAAUUUGGUUUUGAAUACACUUUUAUUCUAAAAUCAAAUAUGUAUACCCUUGUAUUAAAAGAAUUCUAUAAUUAAACCUUAUGGGUAUAAUCUCCAUAACUUAUUAAAACAUAAUUAUUAAAAAAAUAUUAUUUAUUUAUUUUCUCCUUUUAUGAAGUUUUUCUCAUUUAAAAAAAUUAAGUGAUUAAGUUAAAGGAUAACCCAAUAAUCAUACUAAAAAUGAAAGGUUGAUUACUACUCAUUAUUAUCAGCAAUCAUUAAUAUAAUAUCAUAAAAGGAAAACAAACGUUUUCUAUAGCCCUGAAAGUCAAUUAGUGCUCCUAUAGGUCAUUUAUCUAUUAACAUUAUUCCUCCGUUGAAUAGUAUUUUUUCACUAUUGACUUGAUACACUCUAAUAAACACUAAAUAAUAUGGAUUUUACUAUAUUACUCAAUAUGUUAAAUUUAAUAUUUUGAGAAAUGUAUUAGAUAAUGAGUAAUAUUCAAAUUAAGAGUAAAAUAAGCACAAAUGAAUAAAUUAUCUAAUAAUCUUUUAAACUAAACAAGAAAUUAUUAAACAUCAAUUUUUAAUAUAAUGAACAAAUAAAAAUGGACGGAGUUUAAAGAAAGUACUAUCUUUAUUUUAUUUAUUUACGAAAUGAUCAUCUUUGAGAUUUUACAUACCAAAAUUAAUGUGAAAUUACAAAUUUGAUGGUAAGUAAGAAUCAAUAGAAAUAUCUUAAUGAUUAAAUAUUAGUAUUGAAAGUAAAUUUUCAUAUUAUACACCAUGAAGUAAUUAGUUUCCCUUAUGUUACGUUACUUACCGAGAAAAUUUAGCUCCUGCCUUCACUUUCUUUCGGUAAAAACUUACACGCACCCGAUAUAUACACCAAACUAAUAUUUUUUUACCAUAAAACUAGAGCAAGGCCUAAUUGAAAAUGAAGCGAAUUGUUGAUUGUGUCAUAAAGACCCUUAUGUCCACGCCCCAAUCGCCCCCCCGGAGGAAGAUGUGCAUCUAAUUAAAUCAAGUAAAAUAUAUGUUGAUUAAUCUUGGUUAAGUAACAUGAACUUUAAAUUCAAACACAUGACAUGCAUGUAUUGACUUGGUGUAUACACCGGGUGCGUGUAAGUUUUUUCCCUUUCAUUUUUCAUUAAAAGCACUUUCAAUUUAUUAAGAGGACAUUAUUAGAGUGUUGUUUUGGAAAAUAGAAUUCUGAUUUUAGGGGAUUUUACAUUAAUUUAGGAGAUUAAUUAAAAAAAAUGCUUUUUGACAAUUAAUUUUAAAAAUAAAAAUAAAAUAUAGCCACAGUACGUGAAGUAUCCAAUAUAGGCUUGUAAUAAUGAAGGAAAAGAAAAAGAGAAAGAAAAAUUUGUACAUAGUUUUUGCCAAAAUUAAAUAUUAUUUUAAAAAAAUUCUUUAAUUUCAUUAGUUUUGAUCCAUUUAGAGGGUUGGCUAUGAGCUUUCAAAGUGUGUAUUUUUCUUCACUUUUUUACUAUUUUUUUCUUUAUUUAGCGUUUAAUAAAAAAGCUUGCCAAAAAAAACUAUAAAUAAGAAUUAAAUGUACAAGUAUUAUAUAUUAUUAUUUUAUUUAUUUCGAAAAGGAAAAAAAAAAAGAAGAGAAAACCAUAAUGUGAAAAAACAAAUUUUUACUGAUAGUCCAUUUGACCAAGUUUAUUUUUAUCCAAAAGUGUUUAUUUUUUUUUUUAAAUUGCUUAUUUAAAAAAAUUGAGGUAUUAGACCAAACUUCUCUAAGAAAAUAAGUGCUUAUGAGAAGUAGAAGAAACAAUUUUCAUAAACUAAAGAAAAAAAAUAGUUUCCUUCAAAAGUACUUUUUUUUAUAAAAAAAAAAAAAAAAACUUUUGAGAAAAAUACACUUAAAAGCUAUUUUAAAAGCUUGAUCAAAUGUAAAUUAUUGCUCAAAACUUCUUACUCAAUUUAUUGGCCAUACAAAUUACUUCUCACCAAAAUUACUAUUUUGAAAAGCACUUUUCAAAAUAAAUAUUUUAUAAGCUUGGCCAAACAUGCUAUAAGAUUCCCCUUGUAUUAUAUAUUAUAAACUAAAAAUAUGAUAUAAUCAAACUAAUUUCAAGAAAUAAAAUAUUAUUGUAUUUCAAUUAAAAAAUUUAUUGCAUAAAAGAAAUUUAUGACUGCGCGAAGUGCGGUCAAGUACCUUGGUAUUAAUAUAACAAAGUAGUAGACUUCUUUCAUAAUUAUGCACCUUAAAACACGUAAUAUUUUCAUUUUCUCCUAAACAAUCGACAAUUUCUUCUUCUUUUUUAACCACUAAUUAAAUACCCCUAAUCAAUUAACAAAUUCUUUUUACCACUAAUAAACUUUAAAAAUAAAACCUUCUCAAUAGCCAUCUACAAUCUACCCCAUAAUAAACUUUAAAAUAAAACCUUCUCAAUAGCCAUCUAAGAAACACAAAAAAAGGGUAAACAUAGAAUCAGACUGCCAAAAUAAAAAAAAGACAACCCGAAACACAAAAAAAGGAUAAACAUAGAAUCAGACUGUCAAAACAAAUAAAAGACAACCCGAUACAACAGUAUGUGUAAACCUUAUACAAGUCAUAAUAUAAUCUUAUACAGUUUUACAUGUAUGUGUAAACCUUAUACAACUCAAUCUUAUACAGCUCGGACCAGACUCCAUUGCAAAAUUUAUACUUUACGGAUUAACCACUUUCAAAUAAAUAGCAAAAAAAACAAAGAUCUGACUUUGAAAUAUAUGAAAAAAUACAAAAAAAUUCAACUCUCACAAUGGUAUUGAAUUACAAAAGCGGAUACUUUGAUGAGUACAUACCUGCAGCAAAGAAAAAUUCGAAUCCAAAUUUAAUUUGGUAAAGUUGAAAAAAAAAACCCUUAAAAUUAAAUGAAGAAGGUGAACUUUGCUCAGUUAAUGAUUGAUAACUGAAUAAUUUGAAACUCCCUAGAUCACGUUAGCUUGAUUCUAGGCGUAAAUAAAGGAGCACAGAUAUGGAGUAAAAAACGGUGCACAAAAUAUGAAGCAGAAAACCUAUUUUGGUUAGUAUAAGGGGAUGAGAGAGAGAGUAAAAGUAAGAGAUUUUAUGUAAUUAAUAUGAAAUUUUUGUAAUUAUUUUUCAAAAUAGAAAUUUUAUGUAAUAUUUAAUAUGAGACUCUUGAGCGUGAAUAUCUGAU
Molecule: long non-coding RNA, 10642 nt
Filed under: Capsicum annuum
Lineage: Eukaryota; Viridiplantae; Streptophyta; Magnoliopsida; Solanales; Solanaceae
Description: long non-coding RNA (CANN_LNC001887)
Source: RNAcentral